UACUAAAAACACAAAAUUAGCCGGGCGUGGUGGCGCAUGCCUGUAAUCCCAGCUACUCCAGAGGCUGAGGCAGGAGAAUCGCUUGAACCAGGAGGUAGAGGUUGCCGUGAGCCGAGAUCGUGCCAUUGCACUCUAGCCUGGGCAACAAGAGUGAAACUCCAUCUCAAAAAAAAAAAAAAGAUUCACAGAUUCUAUCUCAGACUCAUGAAUCAGAAUAUUCUCAAGGUCUGGCUGACCUCCACAACUUAAAUCACUGUUUUAUUCUUUAUCAUUCCCCACUAAAAUGUAAACUCCAUGAGAGCAGAAGCUUUUUCUGUUGUGUGGAGUGCUAUCCCUGCACCCCCUAUGUGUGGUUCAGGGUCUAGUUAAGAAAUAAGGCUGGGCACGGUGGCUCACAUCUGUAAUCCCAGCGCUUUGGGAGGCCGAAGCGGGCAGAUCACUUGAGGUCAGGAGUUCAAGACCAGCCUGGCCAACAUGGUGAAACCCCGUCUCUGGUAAAAAUACAAAAAUUAGCUGGACGUCGUGGCGGGCGCCUGUAAUUCCAGCUACCUGGGACGCUGAAGCAGGAGAAUCGCUUGAACCCGGGAGGCAGAGGUUGCAGCGAGCUGAGAUUGUGCCACUGCACUCCAGCCUGGGUGACAGAACAAGACUCUGUCUCAAAAAAAAAGGAAUAAGACUAGGUAUUUCAACUGGGCACACCAUGGUAACU
Molecule: long non-coding RNA, 709 nt
Filed under: Homo sapiens (human)
Lineage: Eukaryota; Metazoa; Chordata; Mammalia; Primates; Hominidae
Description: non-protein coding lnc-TRIM27-17:1
Source: RNAcentral